UAAGGGAUAUUGCGCAAUGGGCGAAAGCCUGACGCAGCAACGCCGCGUGGAGGAAGAAGGCCUUCGGGUCGUAAACUCCUUUUGUGAGGGACGAGGAAGGACGGUACCUCACGAAUAAGUCACGGCUAACUACGUGCCAGCAGCCGCGGUAAAACGUAGGUGGCGAGCGUUAUCCGGAUUUACUGGGCGUAAAGCGUGUGCAGAUGGGAUAGUAAGUGGUGUAUGAAAUCGCUCGGCUUAACCGGGCGGGGUUAUGCCAGACUGCUAUUCUAGAGAACGGGAGAGGGACGUGGAAUUCCGGGUGUAGUGGUGAAAUGCGUAGAGAUCCGGAGGAACCCCUGAGGCGAAGGCGGCGUCCUGGCCCGAUUCUGACAUUCAGACACGACAGCAUGGGGAGCGAACGGGAUUAGAUACCCCCGUAGUCC
This 425-nucleotide ribosomal RNA is filed under the name uncultured bacterium. Its description in RNAcentral is "bacterial SSU rRNA". It matches the Rfam family "Bacterial small subunit ribosomal RNA", at positions 355 to 796 of the family's 1533-position model. The record is from RNAcentral.